Molecule: small nuclear RNA, 192 nt
Organism: Neoarius graeffei (lesser salmon catfish)
Lineage: Eukaryota; Metazoa; Chordata; Actinopteri; Siluriformes; Ariidae
Product: U2 spliceosomal RNA
Exons: 1
Source: RefSeq, a predicted model, not a curated record
GUCGCUUCUCAGCCUUUUGGCUAAGAUCAAGUGUAGUAUCUGUUCUUAUCAGUUUAAUAUCUGAUACAUCCCCUACCUGGGGGGCUAUAUAUUAAAUUGAUUUUUGGGACAGGGAGAUGGAAUAGGGGCUUGCUCCGUCCACCCCACGCAUCGACCCAGUAUUGCAGUACUUCUGGGAAUGGUGCACCUCCU